Molecule: non-coding RNA, 91 nt
Organism: Cadophora sp. M221
Lineage: Eukaryota; Fungi; Ascomycota; Leotiomycetes; Helotiales; Ploettnerulaceae
Source: the annotation of a GenBank genome assembly
GGAUAGUUCAGUGGUAGAAUACGUGCUUUGGGUAAUAUCAACGCUUGUACGUGGUCUUGGGUUCAAUGUAAGUCGCUUCCUGAUAUCUCUU